UGCGACUUUUCUAGCGGAAAAAACUACAACUUCGAUGAUGGGGAUGUCUCGUCUGGAUCGUCACGUUAAAGCUUUUAGUCUAUUCGUCAGCGUUGCGCAACGCACAUUGGCUUUUUUUUACAAUCCCGUUUAUUGAAACUCCGUAGUGAAAAUUAUUAUUUGGCUAACAGUUUUCCAUAUAAUUGUAAAUACCGCAUUUAUUCAGAUUAAUAAGGUAUGAAUUAUAAUAUUGUUAUUGUGUACAUAAUACCUACAGUUUUAAUUAAUUUUUAGAUAAGUAAUUAUAUACAAUUUUUAAAAGACAUAUAUUGGUGACCGGUCAAUUUAUAGUCGCGAUGGGAUAUUUAUUUUUCGAAACAAUAUUUUAAAAUUAAAAAUUCUACAAAUUAAUUAAAUUUUAAAAUUUCAAAAAAUUAUUUACCCAAAUUAAUAUAAAUUAUUAUUAUACAAUAUACAAUAUACCUACGUAGAAGGUAUAUUAAUUUCAAUAUUAAAAUCUUCAUGAUUUAUUAAUUAUAUCUAGUUUCACUAUAUUAAAUUAUACUUAUUAUAGUAAUUGCUAUUACUAGUAUAAUUAAAUUAUUUAUUUAUCAUAUUUAAGUAAAUAAAUAAUUAAACAUAAUUGUCAGUUAAGUCUGAUAUUGUGUGAAAUAUUUAUAUUAAAUAUUGGAUUACCUAUAUAGUUUAAUCUAACGUUUUUACGCAAGUUUUGUAUAAUAAAGUUUUUUUCCGCCGUUUUCUAUAGUUUAUCCUAUAAAAUUGCAUGUAUAAUAUAAAUACGUUUAAAGUAACACUGUACCUAUAAUAAUUAAUUAUUAUUAUUAUAAUGAGAAAAUACGUGAAUACAUUUUAAAACUAUUUUUCGGUCUUUUUUUAAAUUUGUCGAUCACUAAUUGAAUAUUUGAUUAUAAUCUGAAGUGCUGCUAUUGUAGUAUAACUACAAUAUUUGUUUGAUAGCAUAAUAGUCAAUGAAAAACCGAAACAAUAAUAAUAUGGUAACAUUUAACUUUUUAAGAUUUUAUUUUUUUUUUUUUAAAAGAACAUUGUAUUUUUGAUAGUACGAUACAUUAAGUUAAUAGUAUUCAUGUGUAACCAUUUUACAAGUAUAUAGAGAUAUUUUUCAAUAGAUCGAUUUUUUUUUUUUUUUUUUUUUGAAGAUAUUUUGACCAUACACAUUAAAUUGCUUAAACUGUAUUUUAUAAUUUUUUUUUUUAUGUUAUAUAACUAUAUUCAUUGUGUAAAUACAGAGUCAUCCAUUCAUAUACUGAGUAAUAACUAAUAAUUAUUGUUAUGCAAUUAUAAUAUCGAUUACUUAAUCGAUAAAUGUCUUUCUUCAUUUAGAUUCUUAGCCGGUUAAGGAAUGUAUUUUUUACAUUUUAUAUUUUAUAUUUACAUUUUUUAGUUUUACAAUGAUGUUAAUUUUAUUUUUUUGUCUGUGAACAACUUUUCUACAAGAUAUCUUGCUACAAUUUAAAAUGAUAGCAUUUUUUCUAAAAGGAAAUCUGAAUAGGGUAGUACUUUAGGAUGGUCAUCUUUUGAUUUUCUUAGGAGUUUUUCCUAUAAAUGAGAAAAAAAUGAAAAAACACGAAAAUAAAUACGAAACUAAACAAAUAUUAUUGAGGAAAAUAUUUAAUGCAUAUGUUAUUAUUUCACCAUAAUAUGACAUAAAUAUUGCUGACAAAGCAGCACCUUACCUAACCUAACCUAACCGAAUUCCGUUCAGAAUCAUUUUUCGUUAGCAAUGAUUAAUAAUUGCGUGCAUAUAUAUAAAUUCAAUUUCCUCUCUACCUUCCCAACUUUUCACCUAUAACAGUAACCCACCCACGUGUGAAGAAUGUCCGUCUUUUUUUUAUUGCCCCUGUUAACUAUCAUAAAUGAAGUAAGGUAAUAGAAAUUAAACUAAGAGAAAUAAAGUGAUACUACUCACGGAGAGGCCACUGUUGUGUAUGGUCAGUUUGGAAGGUAGGUUAUAUAGGAUCAUUUAUUGUAUACACUAUAUGCAACGAUAGAUCGAAUCAAACGAAAAACGAUUCUGAGUUGAAUACCAUUAGUCGAUUUUUUCUCUUAAUUAAUCCCGAGGUAACAGAAAUCAGCAAAACAUGAUCAAUAUAUUCCCCAUUUUUACUACGUUUUCCCAGUUAUUAGGAAACAUACAAGGAAAAUCAAAACUAGAUUACGGGUAAAAAAGUUGUAAAAUGCUGAUACUGGGAACGGAUGUGCACUGUUACACUGUUAUAGGUAGGAAGUUAGAAAGAUAGAAAACAUUAAGUUAUUUAAGCAUAUCAACAGCAACGAUAAACCAUUGCUAACGAAGUUUGAUUAUGCAUAUUUUAAAAGGCCGUAAUAUUUAUGAUUUUCGUCAAAAUUUGAUAAUAAAAUUCUUAUUAAAAAAAAAAAAACUUUAAACUCAGUUUUAGAUUUUGAGCGGAGCGAAUUUUACUAUGAUGUUUAUUUUUUUUUAUACUAGGUACAAACAUUCUAUCGGAAAUCUUGCUCUGAUAUAUAUGUGCGACACCUUUUCUGAAAGGAAAUAUUAUUUAAAUAAUACUUUAAGGAAAUUUUUUAUUUUUCAUAACAUCUGGAGAAAACCAGGAUAAAACGUAAAAAAAAUGGGAAAUUUACGAAAAUAAUGUUUUUAUUAUUUUCAAUUUUGUUAUUCGUUGUAACUCUGUUAAAAAUAUUUUUAGAGACUUAAAAUUUUAAUAAAAUACUUAUUUUUAGCCUUUUAUUUGCCUUUUCUAGACGUGGUAAAAUUUUCAAAAAUAUAGCCAUUUUUGAGCUAUUAAUAGACAUUUUAAUUUUGCGAGUUUUGUACGUAAUUUUUUUUCGGUAAGUGGUACUCUUUGGUAAAAUUAUGUAUUAUGUACCUGAAUUGCCGGUUUAAGACUUAGCUUCAAAAUUAAAGCUUUUUGAAAUUUUGAUAUUAUGUAUGUUAUGUCAAAUAACUCUAUAUUGACAAUUUUUAAGCAUGUCUGUCGCAGUCUAGUGGUGGAACAAACCGGUUGUCAUCCUAGAGAUCCCGAGUUAAUACUCGUGUUCCGUAAACAAAUGUAUUUUGGGUGUACUUAGACAUUGCCAAGACAUUGCUCAUCGAACUAUUUUAUUGAAAAAUACUCCUCUAUUUGUUAUGCAAACUUUUCUACUCGAAAUCUUGCUCCGAUAUAUCAAGUGUAAUAUCUUUUCUGAAAGGAAAUUUUAUAAAAAUGGCAAUUUAAAGAAAUCGUUUUUUGAUUUUCCAGGAGUUUUUCCAAUAACUGGAGAAACCCAGGAAAAAACGGAAAUUUUUCGAAAUGUAGUAAUUAGUAAAAAAUAUUACUGCUCUUCUUUUCUUGAGAACAUUUUUUUUUCUGCCACUGUUGUAUGUUAGAAGUUGGGAAAAUAGUAGAGGGGAAACUUAAUGCAUAUCUGUAUGCAACGAUUGACCAUUGCUAACGAAAAAACGAUUCUGAGCGGAGUUCUGUUUAUAGUGUUGAUUUGUUAACAAAAUAUACAAAUCAUAUUAUGAUAAAAUAAUUGCAUAAUAUACAUUAUAUACUUUGUUUAAUAAUAUUUGUUUAAUAAUUUAUCUAUUUCCCCGUUUAUCCUACGUUUUUUUUCCCCGGUUUUCCCACAUUUUUUUCCUUUUUUCCCCCAUUUAUUGGUAAAAUUCCUGGAGAAAUCAAAAAAUAGCCUCCUAAAAGCACCACCUCAGUCAGAUUUCCUUUCAGAAAAAUUACUAUCAUUGUAAAUCGAAGCACAAUUGCUGGUAGAAAAGUUGUCCACAGAAAAAAUUAUAAUAAUAUAAAUCAUUGUAAAAUCUACAUUCAGCACAUUCCUCGCUCCACUCAGAACCUUAAACUUAAAACAAUGAAAUCAUAACGCCGUAAAUUUGACAGUUUCCAUUUUACGUUUUUUUUUUUUUUUUUUUUUCAUUUUUUCCCUAUUAUUGUGAAAACCCCAUUUAAAAUCAAAAAAUUACCUGCUUUAAGUCCCAACUUAAUAAAAUUUCUUUUCAGAAAAGAUGAUAUACUUGAUAUAUCGGAGCAAGAUUCUUGUUAAAAAUUGUGUACACAUAAAAAUAAAAUUGUUAAAAAUAAACAUCAUUAACAAAUAACUAAUACAUUCCUCGCUAUACUCAAAAUCUAAAAAAAAAUAUGUCUUCGUACAAUCAAAUAUAUACAAUUAUUAUUAUUAUUAUUAUUAUAUGCUGUUGUAAAAACAUAUCAGUACCAAUAUAAAAUCCAUUGAUUAUUAAUUAAACCUUUUUGUUUUCAUUGUGACCUUUCAAUAAAUUAUCUUAUAUUACGAUCGUGUUACGCUGCCGUUAUCAUACACUACAGUUAUUUAUUUACAUACGUAUAGAUACUUCAAUAAACAACUAUUUUCUAAAACGAUAAUUCUAUUCAGACAUUAUCUGUAUUUUUAUCUUUUUUAGGAUAAAAUAUAUAAUUUUAAUGUCAAUUCGUUUUCCAGUGCACAGAAAUAUUAGAUAGUUAUUCUCAUAUGAGUAUAAUAAUAUACCAAUAUCCAUUAUAAUCAAUCGUAUUCAUUUAUACAGAGUGAUGAAUCUGUCAUAAGACACUCAUUAUCUCGGAAAUUAUGUACUUUUUGGAAUUUUUUUUUUAAAACUUAAGCAACAAAUAGUUCUAAAAUGUUACUUUAUCUUUUUUUUUGUCAUCCUUAUUUUUGGAAGUAAAACGAAUACCUACUUUUGAUUUUUAAAUGACCACCUACAAAAAAAUUCCAUAAAUACAUGUUUUGAUGAUAUAUAUUUUGUUACAUUCACAUUGUAAUUUUUAAAUACUUGGUUUAUCAAAUUUAUUUAUUUAUUUAUUAUGAUUUAUUUUGAUUUUAUUUUUUAGUAACUUAAUAAUAUUAUUAUACAUUUGGAAGUCUGGUUUCUCUUAUUGUUGUUAUUUAUACAGGAAGUGAGAUUGUUGAUUAGGAAACUAUUAUAUUUGGUGCUGAUGUAGUUGAUGUUAUUUUUAUUUUUAUUAUUUGUGAUGUUAACAUUAUGUUUGUAUUUAAUAUUUUAAUUUAUUUUAUUAAUGGUUUUUAAGUUAUAACCAUUAAUUAUUGCAAUUUUUUUAUUGUUUUUAGUUUUUAUGUGUAGUAGUUAUUGUUCAAAGGUAUGCUUUCUAAUCCAUGUAUCAUUGACCUAAAAUAUGUUCAUUUUUGUGUAAAAGGAUGAUUGGAAUCAUUAGGAAUUAUGGCAUCUGUUUGUGUGGGUUUUCUAUAGAUAUUAAACUCAAAUUUAUUAUUAAUAAUUUUAAUGUUAAAGUCUAGAAAGUUUAAUUGAUUAUUAUUUUGUAUUUCUAUAGUAAAUUGUAUAUAUUUAUUUAAUUUGUUAAAUCACUAAUCAUAUUCUGUGCCUAUAAAUAUUAUAAAGUGCUAUCUACAUAUCUGUAAUAUUGUUUAAGUUGGGAUUUUUUAUAAUGUGUUUGUUUUCAUAAUUUUGCAGGUAUAAUUCUGAAAGAAGAGCACUUAAUGGACUAUCAAUAAUUAAAUCAUCUGGUUCUGUAUACACUAUAUUGUACUUAAAAUAGUUUUGGUUAAUAAUCAUUUUAGCAAUUUUUAUGGUAUCAUUAAUUUCUUUAGUGUUCAUUUUAUUUAGUUUAGUUAAAUUAUCUUUUAAAAUUUGUAUUUUUCUAAUUGGGGACUAGAAGGAUAUAUAUUUUUGAUGUCUAAUGAAAUCAUUUUACAUUCUGAUGGUAUAUUGUAAUCUUUAUUAUUAUUAAUGAAUUUAUUAGUAUUUUUGAUGGAAUGUAAGUUAUUCAUAUUUAAGUUGGUUUUUUAUUUAAAUAUUUUAUAAGUUUAUAUGAAGGGGAUAUUUUUUUUAAAUUUACUAGAAACCUUAUUGGAUGAUCUUUUUGUAAUUUGAUAAAAGGAUGUAAUUGUGGGGCUAGUGUAUUGUUAUUAUUGAUUAACAUUUUUUUGUCUUUGGGUUUUCUUAUUUCUGUGGCAUUUUUAAUAGUAUUAUUAAUUAGUUUUUGAUAUGUAUUAGUCGGAUAACUGUUUAGUAUUGUUACAUUAUUAUUUUUUAUGAAAUCAUAUAUUUUGUUAGUUACUAAUUGUUUAUAUAUAAUUACUAUAGCGUUUGAUCUAUCUACUGGUAAGAUUUCUGCAUUAUGAUUUUUUAUUUUAUUGGAUAUAGAAUUAAUAAUUCUGUUUUGGGUUGUGGUUUUAUUAUUAUAUGAUUUGAUUUUGUACGUGUUAUUUAAAGAUUUUUCAGUGAUAUUAAUUAUGAUAUGUUUAGUUAUUAUUACUAUUUGGUGUAUAAUUAAUUAUUGAUUGACAUAGAAUGAUUUCUUUUUCGAUUAAAUUGUAAAUAAUAUUAUUAUGUAGAUUAUAUUUUCUUCCUUUAUUUAAAAGUUCUGUUUCUUUUUGAUUGAGAAUAAUACGAGUAAGGUUUGAUGAAUUUUGGUUGAAAUGAAUGUGAAAUGGUAAAUGUAACAAAAUAUAUAUAGGCAAACAGAUAGAAACUUUAAAUCCAGAUUCAAAGAGCACACAUCUAAAAUUAGUUUAAAAAAAGAAAAUCUCGAAUCCAACUUGACAAACAUGUUUUAGAAAGUAACCACAGCAUCAAAAAUAACAUUGAAAAAGUUUUAUCAAUAAUACACACACAGAAAAACAAAUAUUUAAAUUCCGUACUAGAAAGUUAUCAUAUUCAUAAUGAAAAAAAAAACAAUAAUUUCAAUAAUUCAUUAAUUGUUCAAACGGAUUUUAAAAAUAUUUUAUUUCCUUAUCUACAUAAACUUAAAGAUGAUAAUAAUUGUGAUAAUAUUAUCUAAUCAAAUUUCUCUGCUAUCAUUGUUUUGUUAUAAAAAACAAUAUGUACACAAUUGUUUGAUAUUAUAAUAUAUAUUAUAUAUAUGUUGUGAUAUAUACUAUGUUAUAUUUAUUUUUGUUUUAAAGUUUAUAUUGUUCUUUUUUUUUAAUUGUUUUAUGUAAACCAUCGUAUAACAUUGUUCAUCAGCAACCUGAUGAUGGCGUAAACCGAAACUAAGUAGUUGCUUAAAUAAAACUUAUUAACACUUUAUGUCAGCAUAUUUUUUAAACAAAAUUUCAGAUAACCGCUUACACAAAAAUUGUGUCUUAGUUUUUCGAUAUUUUUAUAGUAUCUAUUAUAAAAAAUAACUUAUGAUGAAUUAUGUAUUCAAUUUUCAAAUAUGCUUAAGUUGCCAAAAUAAUUUGGUUACAUAAAACCAAAUAAAGUCUAAAGUAUAAAAAAAAAAAAUAUAAAAUUUAAUUUAAAUUUAAAUUUAAAUUGUUAUGUAUAACUUAAAAAUCAUACUAUUUAUUUAUUACUAUUAUUUAUAACUGAAUUACAACAAAAAAUAAAUUCGGAAAUAAUGGAAACCAAUAUUGCGUAAAUAUUUCAGUUUUUCCAAAAAUUAACCCCAAUUUUUCUCAAUUAUUACAAAAAAUACCAAGAAAAUAAAAAAAUACAAUUUCCAACGAACCAACAAGAUAACAUUUUUACUAGAAACCAUCUCUUAGUUGAUUAUUGAAGCAAUAUUUUUGAAAAAGUUGUUUAUACAGUCCGAAAAAAGUACACAUGUUAGUAAAAUCAACGCUCAGAAUCUAAAACGAAGUACAACUUUUGAAAUAUAAAAAUUGUGUGUUAACCAAACUUAUAAUUUCUGAUGCACACUUAAUACCUUUAUUUACACAAGUACCUACACAACUUGAAAUAUAUUCCUGGUCCUCUAUAUGGUAUAUGGUGUUUGGUCCUCCAUUCACAAACAAGACAUAGUUAUAUCUUCGGGUUUCCGUUGACGUUAUAAUUUUACCUAUCACCUAAUUUAGUUAUAAUACAAAUCGUUAAAAAUCAUUUUUAUUAAAAAUUAUUAAAGAAAUCAUUACAAAGUACAAAUUAUUAUUUUUUCAAAUGUCCACACAUACUUCUACAAACUUAUACCUAGUUAUUUUACUAGGUCUAUAUAAAACUAUAUAUUUUCAUUAUAUUCUGUCUUUACUUCUUUUUUACCUUUUAUUUUUAUUAUUAUUUUUGAAACAUUACACAUUUUAAUAAUAAUUUGUGGCACCUAUACAUUUUUAAAUAAUUUUCGAUGUGUAUCAACUAUCAUUUAAAUAUCAUUGUCAAUUCAAUUAUUAAGUUUAUUAAAAUGUGUUUGGGUGAAAUGGAAAAGGUUACAUUUGACGAUGACAAUACUACGUGUACACCAUUGAUUGAUUAACUAUAUUGUUUAAUAUAGGUUUUCAAUAAGAAAUAUCAUAUUAUCAUGGUGGAAAAAUUGCAUGAAUAUCAAGGUCCAAUCGGUAUUCUACACACGUGGAGAGACGCGUUACGGGACAAAUGGACCAGUUGGAAUGAUAAUCGUCCCCGGACACUUUUGGAACUCUUACAACUAUCGGGUUUAGCCGAACGCCCGGGUAACCGGAAAGACGACGAAUGUCCGCUCGAAGUGGACAUGGAACAGUAUUCGCACAUAUUCAGGUAAUGUCUAUAAUAAUUAUUGUUGUGAUAAAUUUAAAAAAAAUACCGGGACUAUAAUAACAUGAUUAUUACAAUUGUAUUUUGAAUAAUAUUGCGUAUGUGGUAAGAGCUUAGAUCAUAUACAAUAGAUAGAGUUACGGCUAAGGUAUAGGCUAACCUUAUGUGAAACGAAUAUGUCGCCAACAUAUCAAGAGGGCGUGUAACUACUGCGUAUGCGUCGUCCUCUUCAUAAUGCCCUCUUGAUAUGUUAGAGACACGUUUUAUUGCUUAUAGCUCUAACCAUUGUGCAUGAUUUAAGGAUAAGAGUGUAUCGUAUACAGAGUGAUCAACAUAAUAUUAAGACACUAUCAUUAUCUCGAAAAAUAUUAACUUGUUUGGAAUUUGUUUUUCUGAACAAUUAAGAAAUAAGUAGCUUUAAGAUAUUACAUUAUUCCUUUUGUGUCACUUUUAUUUUUUAAGUUAACGACUACCUACUUUUUAAUGCCAAAAAAUUCCAUAAACAGGUGAAGUAGGUAUUAGUUUAAAUCGAUUUUGGUGUCAACAUUUUAAAUUUCCGUGAAUCCGUUGCCGAGAUAUUCCACUUUUAAGGUUCUGUGGGAGGAAGUAUAGUGGUACAUAAUUUGUUUAACAACACAAUGAACAGCUUUAAUAAUGUUCACCCCUGAAAAUAAGGGCCAAAUAAAUUAACUAUAAUGUAAAAUUGUAUAGCUGCUUGUUUCUUAAAUAAACUAAAAAUCAAAUUCUGAAAAAAAUGUAAUACUUUCGAAAUAAUAAGUUUCCUACGUUAUUUUGAUCACUCUGUAUAUUAUAUUAUAUGCUGAGUUUUAGGAAGAAAACGAGAGGCGAACUCGUACGCAUAUCUGCCGCAGUGAUGGGAAUAGAAUUUUCGUACGCAGCCGAGACAGCGUUCGUAUCACCGACAUUAUUAAACAUCGGAGUUGACCAUCAACACAUGACUCUUGUAUGGGCUGUAUCUCCUUGCAUUGGGUUUUUCGUCACGCCCAUCUUGGGGUCGUUGAGCGACAGGUGUACCCUUCCGUUAGGCCGACGCAGGCCUUUCCUUAUAGUUCUGGCAUGUGGAGUUUUUUUAGGUAAACCAAUAAAAAUCCAACACAAGAGCACCAGGUCGGAUCGGAAAAAAAAACUAAAAAUAAGCCUAGAUUAAAUAUAUUUUAUUACUUGAACUCUGAAUUUUUUUUGAAAAAUAUCCGUUCGUCUUUUUACAGAUCAUAAAAAUCUACCGAAUUCUCUACUCCUCAGAUCAUAUUAUAAACCAAAAAUCAGGUGAAUUUUCAAUUAUAAGUUUUUAUAAAAAGUGAUGUAAAAGCAAGUAUAUAAUAUAAUUGUCCCGAUCCGAUCGCACGUCUUCCUAACUAAAAGUCCCUCGCAUGUAAACGUUCAGAUAUUGUACAGGUUUGAUAUUGGUGCCGAACGGAAAACUAUUGGGUAGUUGGAUGGAAGGUGAUCUAUCACCGGGAAAUAAUUUUUGGGCAGUAUUUUUCACGGUGCUCGGUACUGUACUAUUGGAUUUUGAUGCGGACGCCUGCCAAAGCCCUGCUCGAGCUUAUCUAUUAGAUAUUUGUGUGCCAGGUAAUAUCGGAUAAAAUUAAUGUCCAUAUCAACAUAAAAUAUUUCGUGAUUAUAAAGUAACGAAUAUGCAUUAGAGGACCACGCCAAAGGUUUAAGCACGUUCACGAUAAUGGCUGGUUUGGGAGGAUGUAUUGGUUAUCUGUUGGGCGGAAUCGACUGGGACUCGUUGAAAUUUGGUAAAACGACUGUAAAUACGUGUUAUUUUUUACGCCAAAUUCUUAAUUGAUUUUCUUUUUUUCAGGGGAAUUAAUGGGUGGUCACGUGAGAGCGGUAUUCACUCUAGUCACUUUUCUGUUUAUCGGUUGUAUCACGUAUACCGUGAGUAGUUUCAAAGAGAUGCCGUUAAAAUUAUUACAGACGAACCAAACGAGAAUAUUGGUCUCAGGAGCCGACGAGGUUAGUCCAUCGACAUUGUCCACGUAGUUAUACAUAUAUAUAUAUAUAUUUAUUUAUAUAUACAUAUGUAUAAAAACUUAAGCUCAGGGCUUGAUUAAGUGCGGGGCCUGUAUCCCGAGCUCCAGCCCCUAUGUUGAAGGCCCGAAAAGAGCCUUUUUUGUCAGAACAAAUUCAUAAUAUUUUAAGUAUAAUGUUUAAUGAAAAUGUAUAAAUCCAAAUUUUAUUUGUACAGUAUACAUUUUCCUUUAUUUUUAUUUGGAUUGAAAUCGAUAAUAUUUUUAUACUAUUUUCAUCUUGAACUUUGUAUCUAAUCAUAUUAAUUUUGAAAAAAAAAAAAGUAUCUCAGUUAUAAAAUAUUGUAUUUUUAUUUUUUUAUUUUUACACUAAAAUAAUAAUGUUGUAUAAUAAUGCAAAUUAAAGAGAUUAUUCUGUUCAAUAAUUUAAUUUGUAUCGUGUUUUAAAAAGUUAAAAUUAAAUUAUUGGUAAUAAAUAAUGUAAGGGCCCUUUAGAAUACCAAACUCCAGAUCCGAUACAUUUUUAAUUCAGUCCUAUACCUAUAUUAUAUCUAAAUAAUACAUACAAAUUAUAUAGGAUUGCGAUUCAGAUGAAAAACUCGUCGGAUAUACGUCAAAAUCAUAUGGCACUUUAAAAGAGGUCAGUAAUGGAAUGGAAAUCGAAAACAACGAACCGGCUCUAAUAACCGUGAGUUUUCAAUCAUGUAAAAUAUUAUGUUAAGUUAGGUUGUUAAGUAGGUAGGUUAAGUUGUUGAAAUUCGAUAACUAUGAAUUCAUUUUUCAUGAAUAAUACAUAGGAACACGCCACGUUUUCUCACUAUUUGAAGACUAUAAUCAUAAUGCCAAAGUCAAUCAAGUUAUUGUGUCUGACAAAUUUGUUCUGUUGGAUGGCGCACGUCUGCUAUUCGUUAUACUUUACGGACUACGUGGGAGAAGCCGUAUUCGGAGGCGAUCCCACGGUAGGGAUACAAUAUAUUAAUUCAUAAUAUUGUUUCACCCUAUGCCAAUUUCGUGCACCAAUAUUAUUAUUAAACGAUUAAUUAAAAUGUGCACAUAGGCAAUGGCGGGAUCCAAAAAGAAAAUACUCUACGAACAAGGCGUUCGAUUCGGAUCGGUCGGCAUGGCGAUGUACUCGCUGUCGUGUGCCUGUUAUUCGAGCGUAAUUGAAAAACUCAUCAAGCGUUUUGGGUAAGUAUAUCCAUCAGGGUUGGACCACAGACCGUGUCUUCCUAAAUCAAUCUGUUAAUCCAGCGGAUUGCUCAGCAGAUUUAUAUAAUUUAGGAACGCUGCUUUGUUAUUUAGUUGGGUCAUGUUGGUUAAUAUCAUAGUUUAAGGUUACCCAUAGAUAAUAGGUACCUACCUAGAACAGUGGCCACACCCGUACUCAAUCUUUUUUAGAUUCUGAGUAUAGCUAAGAAUGUAUUGGUUUUACAAAGUUGUUUAUUUUUUUAGUUCUUUAAUUUUUAAUUUUGUACAAUUUUUCUACCAGAAAGCUUAUUCCAAUUUAAAAUGAUAGCACUUUUUUUGAAAUUAAAUCUGACUGAAGAGGUACUUUAGAGAGGUCAUUUUCGAUUUUCCCAAGAGUUUUCCCAGUAAAUGUGAAAAACCAGAAAAAAAACCAUGGAAAAAUCGGGAAAAACAUGGAAAAACGGGAAAAUUUGUACAAUAUUAAAUAAAUAUUAUUAAAGAAAAUAAAUAAAGCCUAUUUAAUUAUUUUACUAUAAUAUGGCAUAUAUAUUGUUGACAAAGCAUCACUAUCAACUGAACUCUGCUCAGAAUAGUUUUUCCGUUAGCAAUUAUUUAUCAUUGCUUACAGAUAUACAUUAAAUUCUCUUUUGUAUCCUACCUUCUAAUUUCUUACUUAACAGUGGCUGCACUCACAUGCGAAGUAUGUCAUUUUUUUUAUUUUUGUAAUACAAAUAAUUUAAAUAAACAAAAUAAAAUUAAAUUAAAUUAAAAGUAUAUUAAGAGUAUAUUUUUUUUAAAUUGUCAACUAAAUUUUGAAUUUUAAAUUUUUGUUAACAAGAUUUGUAGUUAUAAUUUAUCACUAAUUAUUUAUUGAUUGUUAUCCAACCAUAUACACAAUUUAAAAACUAUUACAAUAAUUACGUCAAUUUUUAUAUUCUGAGCAAACGAAGAAUGUAUUAAUUUUACAAUGAUGUUUAUUUUUAAUUUUAAUUUUUUUUUUGUAUAUACUGUGUACAAAAUUUCUACUAGAAAUCUUGUUCUGAUUUUUUAGUAUAGCACCUUUUCUGAAAGGAAAUUUUAUCUCGUUGGAACUUUAAACAGGUAAUUUUUUAAUUUUCCAAGAAUAUAAUUUUUCAUAAUAAUUCGGAAAACCGGAAAAAACAAAAAAAAUAAAUAAUGCUUUUAUUGUUUUAGAUUUUUAGUGGAGCGAGGAAUUUAUUGGUUUUACAAUGAUGUUUAUUUUUUUUUCAGUGGACAACUUUUCUACCAACAAUUUUACUCUGAUUUACAAUGAUAGCACUUUUUCUGAAAGAAAAUCAAACUGGGAAGAUACUUACUUUAGGGAGAUCAUUUUUUUUUUCCAGGAAUUUUCCCAAUAAAUGGGAAAAACCGUGAAAAAAACGGAAAAAGAAGUAUAAUAUUAAACAAACAUCAUUAAAGAAAAUAUAUAAUGCAUAAUUAUUUUACGAUAAUGUGACAUAUAUAUUGUUGAUAAAGUAACACUAUUAACCAAACUCCGCUCAAAAUCGAUUUUCGUUAGCAAUAGUUAAUCGUUGCGUAGAUAGAUAUACAAUAGAUAUACAUUAUAUUUGCCCUCUUUUUUCCUAAAUUUGGUGGAAAGUUGUUGAUGAAAAUUUAAAAAAUAAUAAAAUAAUAAAGUAAAAACAAAAUUAUUUAUAUUUGAAAAAAAUAGUUAUGGAAUUACAACAAUCAAACAAUAUAUGCAAGUGGAAUAUCUUACUACAAGUAUGCAUUCAUUUUUGUAUUUUUAAUAUAGCGUAAUUCAUGGAUGAACAAAUUUUAUUUUGCACGAUGUUAUUUAUAAAUUUAAAUAUUAUAUAAUGCAAUUUGUAGCUUAUAAUAAAUAGGUACUAUAAAUAGGUUUCGUGCCUCAGCAAUAGGUUUUCACCGCAGUCUCACUAAGUGUAGAGUGAGCCAUGCAUUAAUUGAAAAUUAAAGACGAUGCCGUUAAAUGUAAAUAGAAUAUCCGUGGAAUCCAAAUAACUGCAGCCAGUGACGUCAUUUCAAUUUUUGAGAGGAGGUGGGAAGCAAAAGUUUUGACCAGCUCAUAAUAAAACUGAAAAACAUCGCAUUCUUCACUCGCUAACUUAAUUGUUACAGUUACAUAUUUAUCUCAAUUCAAAUACCCUUCUUUUAUACUUACUAUUAUACGAAUAAAUAACCCGUUUUUUUUUUUGAGGGACAACAAUGACUAUUGACUAAAUUGUUAUUUAGUCAACAUAUAAUAUCUAUAUACAGAGGGACACCUAAAUAUAUUAUCUAUAGGCUAUAAGUUACUAAUAUGCUUAUUAGCCACUGUAUGAAUUAUAAAAACUUAGUUUAAGACGAAUUUUACCCCAAUUUAUGUUCUAAUAUGUAUGGAGUAUAAAUGUAGUAUUAAAUCAUAAAACAUGACAUGAAUCAUGUUUGUGGUCUUGUGGCUCAAAACUAGCCCGAUACCAGCCUAUACCCGGCCCUAUAGCGGCCUGCUGAUGAUAAGAGGAGAAGAAAAUUCCUCCCUGCCCCAAAAUUAUGUAGGUGUUUAUUACUUUCACAAUUGCUUCGUUAAGUAGCUAGGGCUUCAGCCCCCCUCCAAACUCAAACCUAAUUUGAGCCUAUAAGAACUACUAAAUCAUAUAAUAUUAUUUUUAUAUAUUUUGUAAAUCAAUAAGUACGACUUAUAAUAAACCUCCUGUUAAAUUUUCAAACAUUCCUAUUAAAUUUAACAAUUUCAUCUACUGCAGAGUAGGCACCUUCCAAAUAAAAAUUAUAUAAAAAAAACUCGGAAAAUUAAAAUGUCUAUAAAUAGCUCAAAAAUGACUCAAAUAAUUUGAAAACUGCAUGACGUUUACAAAAGACAAAUAUAUAGGUUUUUUUACCAAAUUUCGAGUCUCUUAAAUGUUAAAUAAUAAAAUAAUUCUUUUCAUUAGUAAAUUUGUCAGUAUUUAAAAAACUACAAAUCAAAAACAACUUUCUUCAAAAUUCUAUUGGAGCAAUAUUUAUGAUAGAAAAACAAAGCUGUAACUCCACUCAGAAUCGGUUUUCAUAAGCAAUGGUUUAUCGUUGCUUACAGGUGUACAUUAAAUUACGUACAAUAGUGGCUGCACCCGUCCCUAUUAUCCUAAGACGUCUUUUAUCUACGUUCUUCUCAGUUUUCUUGGUUUUUCCCAGUUAUUAGUAAAACUCUUAAGAAAAUUAAAAAAUUACCAUCUUAAAGUACCUUCCUAGUCAAAUUUCUUUUUAGAAAAAGUGAUAUUGUUGAAAAUUGAAGCAAAAUUGCUGGUAGAAAAGUUGUCCACAGAAAAAAAUAUAAUAAACAUUGAAUAACCGUAAGCUUCUUCGCUCCAUUCAGAAUCUAAAAGGUGCUACAUUAUACAUUGGAGCAACAUUUCUUUUCGAAAAAUUGUUUACAGAUAGAUACACUCCGAACUAAAAUAAGAUUGUAAAAACAAAUUUUGUUAUUGGGAUUUGUGAUGUUAAUUUUUCAAUAUUAAAUUGUUUUUGCGUUGAUAAAAUUAAAAUGUAUGUCGGGCAGAGGAAAACGAGUGUAUGUCGGUGGUUUGCUUUUCUAUUCCACCGGAAUGUUUUUAAUGGCCAUCACGCGACAUAAGUUUAGUGUGAUAUUCUUCUCAUGGGCAGCCGGUGUAAUGUAUUCAACCAUGUUCACGAUGCCGUAUUUGUUGAUCGCCCAUUACCAUUCGACUAACACGGUAUUAUUAUACGAAUUUUUUUUUCUUUACGUAAUUGUAUGUUUUGCCAUUUUUUCCUGUUUUUAGUUUGCUGAAAAUAUCAUUGGCCAAGAACCUGAUGACCAGAUACGAGGCUUAGGCACAGACGUCGCCGUGGUUAGUUCCAUGGUUUUCGUGGCUCAGUUCAUUUUGUCUAUGUGUAUGGGAACGAUUGUCAGCCUGUCGGGAACUACUUCGGCCGUGGUCUACACCGCUUCGUUUUUGGCUUUUUGCGCUUCGAUUGUUGCCACGCAAAUCGUGUACUUAGAUCUAUGAUAACUGAAUUUUUGAAAUUUAUAGAAAACUUACUACUGCGCUAUGUAUCAACUCGUUUAAUUUAAACGCCGUGUGUUUUUCACACUUUUUACAUUUAUUUCACUAAAAUACAACAAUAUCAUACAAAUAUUAUUUAUUAAUAAUAAUAUAUAGGUAUAUUAUACAAUAGUUCUGUAAUCUGUUACUUACAUAUUAUUAAAGACCCUAUAAGUAUUUAUAGUAAGAGAAUGGCAUACUCAGUUUAUCACUAUUUAAUAAACUCCGUAUUAAAGUUUAAAGAUCAAUGAAUAAGCUAUCAGACGGCAUCAGUAGUAUUUUUGCGGACCAGUAAAUUGGUAUACUGUAAUAAAACCAAUUUUAAAAAGACUUACAUUACCUCCCUUAUCCUAUAUGAUACCAGUGUUCCUAAUGCCCACCCCUCUUAGACUAUGGAAUACAAUGUUUAAAAUAUAGGUGUAGCCUAGCUGGAACUUUAAUAUUUACAAUGUCGCCUAAAAGUUUUCUAAUAAGUAACAAUAAACAAAAACAAAAUUGAUAAUAAAGUAAGUAUAAGUAUAUACG
Non-coding RNA from Cinara cedri, 16193 nucleotides. Lineage: Eukaryota; Metazoa; Arthropoda; Insecta; Hemiptera; Aphididae. The record is from the annotation of a GenBank genome assembly.